This 615-nucleotide small RNA is filed under the name Oryza sativa Japonica Group (Japanese rice). RNAcentral describes it as "sRNA Os04g0273350". Lineage: Eukaryota; Viridiplantae; Streptophyta; Magnoliopsida; Poales; Poaceae. The record is from RNAcentral.
AAACUCAAAGUCAUCCUUAUCUUAUCCUCCCCACCGGGAGCACCACUUUCGCAGUUCAGCGAGCUCGGCCGGUGAGAGUCGACGGAACUGUCGGGGAAUGGAGUCUGCGGCGGUAGAGCCACCAGCUGGCGGUGGGUCCGGUGUGAUGGCGGCCGCAGCGCGAGCAAACACCCUCCGCGGCGGUGCGCCGGGUUUGUUGGCCUUCCACUCGUACGCCCGAGGCAGUCUCAUGGCGUCCUGGAGAUCAUCAGGCUUCUGCAGUUCAACGUCGAUGCUGAUAUCAUCCUGAAGACCGGCGAUGAAAAGUUGCACUUGCUGACUCUCGGUGAGGGGGUCUGGGAUGCGACUGGUAAGUGCCAGAAAACACUCCUGGUACGCCACCACGGUGCUCGUCUGCGUGAGGCGCUUGAGCUCACCAAAUGGGUUGUGGCGGAUCGGGGGAGAAUGAUCGGCGACCCGUGAUGGACACAGCGACAGAAAGAGAUGAGAAACAGAGGAAGCUGGAGAUGAGGAGAUAGCUUUGAUCUUGCUUGCCUUUAUUCUAAGAUUAAUUGCCUUAAAUAGGUAUACAAAAUGUAACAAACGGAUGCUAAUUGAAAGGAAACUAAUCGUAAC